RNAcentral lists this long non-coding RNA (754 nucleotides) under Homo sapiens (human). Its description in RNAcentral is "non-protein coding lnc-TLE3-11:1". The record is from RNAcentral. Lineage: Eukaryota; Metazoa; Chordata; Mammalia; Primates; Hominidae.
CCUGUCCCUCCAGCCCCACUGUCCCUAGGCCCAGCCCCAACCCAGCAGCCCAACUGCCUUUACAGCAAAAUAAGCUUCAGUGAGGUCACGUGGACUCAGGGCAGCCACACACACUCAUACGUAUCCACACUCAAACAUACAAAUACAUAUGGUCACACCAUCACCCCUGGACACACUCAUACAAGCACACACACCCUCAAAUCCAAGUGCACACAGCCUCACAGACAACACACACACAAGUGCUUGGGGCAGUGUUUACAAAGCCCUGGAGGGGCUGGGAGGCUCCCGCCCUGUGCAGGUGGUUGGAGGUGUGGAUCACCAUUAGCACCAGUGACAUUCAAGGACAGAGCCCAGAGACCCACUGCAGGGGUGCCUUCAUUGGGUCCCCUUUCCCUUUCUCGCUUCAGACUCAGUGAGAGAAACACACACCACCCCGCAAGCUUCCUAUUCCCUCUGCAGCCCAGAGAGGAUGGACCCAAGGCAGAACCAUGCCUCCUGGCUGUCGCCAAAGCCCCCUUUUCUCUGUAUCAUGUAUUUAAAACGAACUUUGCUUGUGUUGUUCCCAAUCCCCUGAAACAGCCUUCCCCUUCCAGUCCCUAAAAAGCUGUUCUGACCCCAAAAGCCGGGCUGGCAGCAUCCAAGAAGCCGUUGCAAGCCACAGGCUCACGCUGGUGCCACGUCUCUCUCCUACUGGCUGGCAUUCCAUCAGAGACCUGCAGUUUCUGUCUUCCUAGUUAGGUACCCAUUUCUUGGU